This 466-nucleotide ribosomal RNA is filed under the name uncultured bacterium. RNAcentral describes it as "partial 16S ribosomal RNA". It matches the Rfam family "Bacterial small subunit ribosomal RNA", at positions 28 to 507 of the family's 1533-position model. The record is from RNAcentral.
GAUGAACGCUGGCGGCGUGCUUAACACAUGCAAGUCGAACGGAAAGGCUCCUGCUUGCAGGGGUACUCGAGUGGCGAACGGGUGAGUAACACGUGGGUGAUCUGCCCUGCACUUCGGGAUAAGCCUGGGAAACUGGGUCUAAUACCGGAUAGGACGAUGGUUUGGAUGCCAUUGUGGAAAGUUUUUUCGGUGUGGGAUGAGCUCGCGGCCUAUCAGCUUGUUGGUGGGGUAAUGGCCUACCAAGGCGUCGACGGGUAGCCGGCCUGAGAGGGUGUACGGCCACAUUGGGACUGAGAUACGGCCCAGACUCCUACGGGAGGCAGCAGUGGGGAAUAUUGCACAAUGGGCGCAAGCCUGAUGCAGCGACGCCGCGUGGGGGAUGACGGCCUUCGGGUUGUAAACUCCUUUCGCUAGGGACGGAGCGCAAGUGACGGUACCUGGAGAAGAAGCACCGGCUAACUACGUG